ACGCUGGCGGCGUGCAUAACACCUGCAAGUUCUAAACGGGGUUGCCAUAUGGAAGACGGAAUAGUUUACUAGGGAAGUUGGAAGUAGGUAACUUAGUGGCGGACGGGUGAGUAACGCGUGAGGACCUGUCCAUUGCAGGGGGACAACAGUUGGAAACGGCUGCUAAUACCGCAUAUGCCUUUAGGGGUGAAAGGAUGUUAAAAUCCGGCAAUGGAGGGACUCGCGUCCUAUCAGCUAGUAGGUGAGGUAACGGCUCACCUAGCGAUGACGGGUAGCCGGCCUGAGAGGGCGCACGGCCACACUGGGACUGAGAUACGGCCCAGACUCCUACGGGAGGCAGCAGUGGGGAAUAUUGGGCAAUGGGCGAAAGCCUGACCCAGCGACGCCGCGUGAGUGAAGAAGUCUUUCGGGACGUAAAACUCUUUUGUACGGGAAGAAGACGAUGACGGUACCGUACGAAUAAGCCCCGGCAAACUACGUGCCAGCAGCCGCGAGUAAUACGUAGGGGGCAAGCGUUGUCCGGAAUUACUGGGCGUAAAGGGCACGCAGAGCGGAUUGCUAAAGUCACGUUUGUGAACAUAUUGAGAGCUUCAAACUUGGAUUUGUCGCACUGAUACUGGUAGUCUUUGAGUAUGUGAGAGGGACAGUGGAAAUUCCCGGUGUAGCGGUGGAAUGCGUAGAUAUCGGGAGGACCACAGUGGCGAACGCGGUUCCUGGACACAUUAAUUGAAGCCUCCAUGUGCGAAAACUACGGCUAGCGA
Molecule: ribosomal RNA, 761 nt
Filed under: uncultured bacterium
Lineage: Bacteria
Description: bacterial SSU rRNA
Rfam family: Bacterial small subunit ribosomal RNA
Source: RNAcentral